GGUCAGAUCACGCUGAAACACCGGUUCUCGUCCGAUCACCGAAGUUAAGCAACGUCGAACCUCGUCAGUACCUAGAUGGGUGAUCGCUUGGGAAUAUCAG
Non-coding RNA from Acanthosepion pharaonis, 100 nucleotides. The record is from the annotation of a GenBank genome assembly. NCBI's taxonomy places the organism in Eukaryota, Metazoa, Mollusca, Cephalopoda, Sepiida, Sepiidae.